Molecule: ribosomal RNA, 501 nt
Filed under: uncultured bacterium
Lineage: Bacteria
Description: partial 16S ribosomal RNA
Rfam family: Bacterial small subunit ribosomal RNA
Source: RNAcentral
AUUGAACGCUGGCGGCAGGCUUAACACAUGCAAGUCGAGCGGGGGAAGGUAGCUUGCUACUGGACCUAGCGGCGGACGGGUGAGUAAUGCUUAGGAAUCUGCCUAUCAGUGGGGGACAACAUCUCGAAAGGGAUGCUAAUACCGCAUACGUCCUACGGGAGACAGAAGGGGAUCUUCGGACCUUGCGCUAUUAGAUGAGCCUAAGUCGGAUUAGCUAGUUGGUGGGGUAAAGGCCUACCAAGGCGACGAUCUGUAGCGGGUCUGAGAGGAUGAUCCGCCACACUGGGACUGAGGCACGGCCCAGACUCCUACGGGAGGCAGCAGUGGGGAAUAUUGGACAAUGGGGGGAACCCUGAUCCAGCCAUGCCGCGUGUGUGAAGAAGGCCUUAUGGUUGUAAAGCACUUUAAGCGAGGAGGAGGCUACUUUAGUUAAUACCUAGAGAUAGUGGACGUUACUCGCAGAAUAAGCACCGGCUAACUCUGUGCCAGCCGCCGCAGUAA